AGAGUUUGAUCCUGGCUCAGGAUGAACGCUGGCGGCGUGCUUAACACAUGCAAGUCGAACGAGCCUUCGGGCUAGUGGCGGACGGGUGAGUAACGCGUGGGAAUCUGCCCUCAGGAGGGGGAUAACGGCCGGAAACGGCCGCUAAUACCCCAUAUGCCGAGAGGUGAAAUGAAUUUCGCCUGAGGAUGAGCCCGCGUCUGAUUAGCUAGUUGGUGGGGUAAUGGCCCACCAAGGCGACGAUCAGUAGCUGGUCUGAGAGGAUGAUCAGCCACACUGGGACUGAGACACGGCCCAGACUCCUACGGGAGGCAGCAGUGGGGAAUUUUCCGCAAUGGGCGAAAGCCUGACGGAGCAACGCCGCGUGAGGGAUGAAGGCCUCUGGGCUGUAAACCUCUUUUCUCAAGGAAGAAGACAUGACGGUACUUGAGGAAUAAGCCACGGCUAAUUCCGUGCCAGCAGCCGCGGUAAUACGGGAGUGGCAAGCGUUAUCCGGAAUUAUUGGGCGUAAAGCGUCCGCAGGCGGCCUUGUAAGUCUGUCGUUAAAGCGUGGAGCUUAACUCCAUUUAAGCGAUGGAAACUACAAGGCUUGAGUGUGGUAGGGGCAGAGGGAAUUCCCGGUGUAGCGGUGAAAUGCGUAGAUAUCGGGAAGAACACCAGUGGCGAAGGCGCUCUGCUGGGCCAUAACUGACGCUCAUGGACGAAAGCCAGGGGAGCGAAAGGGAUUAGAUACCCCUGUAGUCCUGGCCGUAAACGAUGAACACUAGGUGUCGGGGGAAUCGACCCCCUCGGUGUCGUAGCUAACGCGUUAAGUGUUCCGCCUGGGGAGUACGCACGCAAGUGUGAAACUCAAAGGAAUUGACGGGGGCCCGCACAAGCGGUGGAGUAUGUGGUUUAAUUCGAUGCAACGCGAAGAACCUUACCAGGGUUUGACAUCCUGCGAAUCCCUUGGAAACGAGGGAGUGCCUUCGGGAGCGCAGAGACAGGUGGUGCAUGGCUGUCGUCAGCUCGUGUCGUGAGAUGUUGGGUUAAGUCCCGCAACGAGCGCAACCCACGUCUUUAGUUGCCAGCAUUCAGUUGGGCACUCUAGAGAGACCGCCGGUGAUAAACCGGAGGAAGGUGUGGAUGACGUCAAGUCAUCAUGCCCCUUACAUCCUGGGCUACACACGUACUACAAUGCUACGGACAAAGGGUUGCAAGCUCGCGAGAGUUAGCUAAUCCCAUAAACCGUGGCUCAGUUCAGAUCGUAGGCUGCAACUCGCCUACGUGAAGGAGGAAUCGCUAGUAAUCGCAGGUCAGCAUACUGCGGUGAAUACGUUCCCGGGCCUUGUACACACCGCCCGUCACACCAUGGAAGUUGGCCAUGCCCGAAGUCGUUACUCCAACCCUUGUGGAGGAGGACGCCGAAGGUGGGGCUGAUGACUGGGGUGAAGUCGUAACAAGGUAGCCGUACCGGAAGGUGCGGCUGGAUCACCUCCUAA
Molecule: ribosomal RNA, 1478 nt
Filed under: Cyanobium sp. Suigetsu-CR3
Lineage: Bacteria; Bacillati; Cyanobacteriota; Cyanophyceae; Synechococcales; Prochlorococcaceae
Also listed under: 3 other names
Description: bacterial SSU rRNA
Rfam family: Bacterial small subunit ribosomal RNA
Source: RNAcentral